UACAGAGGUGGCAAGCGUUGUUCGGAAUUACUGGGCGUAAAGGGCGCGUAGGCGGUCUUGCAAGUCCCGUGUGAAAUCCCUCGGCUCAACUGAGGAACUGCACGGGAAACUGCUUGGCUUGAGUUCGGGAGAGGGAAGCGGAAUUCCGGGUGUAGCGGUGAAGUGCGUAGAUAUCAGGAGGAACACCGGUGGCGAAGGCGCACAUCUGGCCCGAUACUGACGCUGAGGCGCGAAAGCUAGGGGAGCAAACGGG
This 253-nucleotide ribosomal RNA is filed under the name uncultured bacterium. RNAcentral's name for it is "partial 16S ribosomal RNA". It matches the Rfam family "Bacterial small subunit ribosomal RNA", at positions 524 to 776 of the family's 1533-position model. The record is from RNAcentral.